GACGAACGCUGGCGGCGCGCUUAACACAUGCAAGUCGAGCGGUAAGGCUCCUUCGGGGGUACACGAGCGGCGAACGGGUGAGUAACACGUGCGUAAUCUGCCCUUCACUUCGGGAUAACCACCGGAAACGGAGGCUAAUACCGAAUACGACCAGUCUUCGCAUGCGGUGCUGGUGGAAAGUCUUUUCGGUGUAGGAUGUGCUCGCGGCCUAUCAGCUUGUUGGUGGGGUAAUGGCCUACCAAGGCUUCGACGGGUAGCCGGCCUGAGAGGGUGCCCGGCCACGCUGGGACUGAGACUCGGCCCAGACUCCUACGGGAGGCAGCAGUGGGGAAUAUUGGACAAUUGGCGAAAGCCUGAUCCAGCAACGCCGCGUGAGGGAUGACGGCCUUCGGGUUGUAAACCUCUUUCAGUACCGACGAAGCGCCCUGUCGGGUGUUGACGGUAGGUACAGAAGAAGGACCGGCCAACUACGUG
This 474-nucleotide ribosomal RNA is filed under the name uncultured bacterium. RNAcentral's name for it is "partial 16S ribosomal RNA". It matches the Rfam family "Bacterial small subunit ribosomal RNA", at positions 28 to 507 of the family's 1533-position model. The record is from RNAcentral.